GACGAACCGUGCGAAUGUUGUUCGGAAUCACUGGGCUUAAAGGGAGCGUAGGCGGGCUAUCAAGUCUGGGGUGAAAUGCCGCGGCUCAACCGUGGAACUGCCUUAGAUACUGACGGCCUCGAGGGAGAUAGGGGCAUGCGGAACUGUAGGUGGAGCGGUGAAAUGCGUUGAUAUCUACAGGAACUCCGGUGGCGAAAGUGGCGUGCUGGAUCUCUUCUGACGCUGAGGCUCGAAAGCUAGGGGAGCAAACGGG
RNAcentral lists this ribosomal RNA (253 nucleotides) under uncultured bacterium. RNAcentral's name for it is "partial 16S ribosomal RNA". It matches the Rfam family "Bacterial small subunit ribosomal RNA", at positions 524 to 776 of the family's 1533-position model. The record is from RNAcentral.